Molecule: ribosomal RNA, 252 nt
Filed under: uncultured bacterium
Lineage: Bacteria
Description: partial 16S ribosomal RNA
Rfam family: Bacterial small subunit ribosomal RNA
Source: RNAcentral
UACGUAGGUGGCAAGCGUUGUCCGGAAUUAUUGGGCGUAAAGGGAGCGCAGGUGGGAAUGUAAGUCAAUCUUAAAAGUGCGGGGCUCAACCCCGUGAUGGGAUAGAAACUACAUUUCUUGAGUGCAGGAGAGGAAAGUGGAAUUCCUAGUGUAGCGGUGAAAUGCGUAGAUAUUAGGAGGAACACCAGUGGCGAAGGCGACUUUCUGGACUGUUACUGACACUGAGGCUCGAAAGCUAGGGGAGCGAGCGGG